Molecule: small nuclear RNA, 103 nt
Organism: Eptesicus fuscus (big brown bat)
Lineage: Eukaryota; Metazoa; Chordata; Mammalia; Chiroptera; Vespertilionidae
Source: RefSeq, a predicted model, not a curated record
AUGCUCGCUUUGGCAGCACAGACUGUAAAAUUGGACUGACACAGAGAAGAUUGGCAUGGCCCCUGCUCAAGGAUGACACGCAAAUUCGUGAACCAUUCCUUUU